Long non-coding RNA from Mauremys mutica (yellowpond turtle), 772 nucleotides. RefSeq lists it as uncharacterized. Lineage: Eukaryota; Metazoa; Chordata; Testudines; Geoemydidae. The record is from RefSeq and is a predicted model, not a curated record. The transcript is spliced from 3 exons.
GGCUGAACAAUUAGGGCAAGGCCAGUACCUGCCUCUCUACCUCUACCCCCUCAUGUGUACAGGGUGAGGGAAGGUACAUGCAAUGGUGACUGGGGGUGGAGCCACUGCUGGGCGUGGAGACUGCUGGGAGCGGCAAUCAGCACGGCACACUGACCCUCAGGCUAGGUGGCCUGCUGAGUUUGCCAUGUAACAGUGUGAUGAGUCCAACAACCAGUGACAUAAAAGAACCUACAGAAGUGAAGGAGAUGGAUGGAAAAGCUCAUAUCAAUGCAACAAGACAACGAAAUGCACCAUCCAUGAGAGUGGGAUGUGGGGAGGCAUUCUGGAAAGAAAUUAUUCUUGGAAGCCAGACAGAACAGUAUGAAAUAGAACCAGUGGCAAGAAAGGGAAAUUCUUAGCCCUUUAAAACAGAAUGAGAAGACUGAGCAGAAGAUGUUUACAAGAUAAAGCGAGCCUGUAAAAACAAUUAUAGGAAUUUCAAUUAACCUGAAGUAGAGUGGCAUAAGAUAUCAAAAUAACAUUUCACUGUUCUAAUAAGCAAAUUAAUCCUAUUCCAGAAUUUGCUUCAUUGGACUAACAAGGGCAUAAAUGGUCAUCCCUUUUGACUUGUACUUAACCAGCUUCUCUCAGCAGCCAUAGAGAUCUUAACCUCAGAAUGGAGAUUUCCAAAUAUAAUUCCAAUUAAUAAAUGGCUUAUUUAAUCCCUUUUAAGCAUUUCAGAGAGACUAAUUUCUGAUAUAUUAAAGCAAUACUAGCAGUGUGUUGAAAUCUG